UACGAAGGGGACUAGCGUUGUUCGGAAUCACUGGGCGUAAAGCGCACGUAGGCGGAUGUGUCAGUCAGGGGUGAAAUCCCGGGGCUCAACCUCGGAACUGCCUUUGAUACAGCACGUCUCGAGUCCGGAAGAGGUGGGUGGAAUUCCUAGUGUAGAGGUGAAAUUCGUGGAUAUUAGGAAGAACACCGGUGGCGAAGGCGGCCCACUGGUCCGGUACUGACGCUGAGGUGCGAAAGCGUGGGGAGCAAACAGG
RNAcentral lists this ribosomal RNA (253 nucleotides) under uncultured bacterium. Its description in RNAcentral is "partial 16S ribosomal RNA". It matches the Rfam family "Bacterial small subunit ribosomal RNA", at positions 524 to 776 of the family's 1533-position model. The record is from RNAcentral.